This 253-nucleotide ribosomal RNA is filed under the name uncultured bacterium. Its description in RNAcentral is "partial 16S ribosomal RNA". It matches the Rfam family "Bacterial small subunit ribosomal RNA", at positions 524 to 776 of the family's 1533-position model. The record is from RNAcentral.
UACGUAGGGUGCAAGCGUUGUCCGGAUUUAUUGGGCGUAAAGAGCUCGUAGGCGGUCUGUCGCGUCGGAUGUGAAAACCCAGGGCUCAACCCUGGGCCUGCAUUCGAUACGGGCAGACUUGAGUUCGGCAGGGGAGACUGGAAUUCCUGGUGUAGCGGUGAAAUGCGCAGAUAUCAGGAGGAACACCGGUGGCGAAGGCGAGUCUCUGGGCCGACACUGACGCUGAGGAGCGAAAGCGUGGGGAGCAAACAGG